GUAGCUCAAUCGGUAGAGCGUGUGGCUCUUAUGAAGAAUCACCUCAAGGUUGCGGGUUCGAGUCCCGCC
RNAcentral lists this transfer RNA (69 nucleotides) under Cyphellophora attinorum. Its description in RNAcentral is "Phialophora attae tRNA". It matches the Rfam family "tRNA", at positions 7 to 64 of the family's 71-position model. Rfam says of the family: Transfer RNA (tRNA) molecules are approximately 80 nucleotides in length. The record is from Rfam by way of RNAcentral. Lineage: Eukaryota; Fungi; Ascomycota; Eurotiomycetes; Chaetothyriales; Cyphellophoraceae.